Molecule: ribosomal RNA, 443 nt
Filed under: uncultured bacterium
Lineage: Bacteria
Description: partial 16S ribosomal RNA
Rfam family: Bacterial small subunit ribosomal RNA
Source: RNAcentral
CCUACGGGAGGCAGCAGUGGGGAAUAUUGGGCAAUGGGCGCAAGCCUGACCCAGCAACGCCGCGUGAAGGAAGAAGGCUUUCGGGUUGUAAACUUCUUUUCUCAGGGACGAAGAAAGUGACGGUACCUGAGGAAUAAGCCACGGCUAACUACGUGCCAGCAGCCGCGGUAAUACGUAGGUGGCAAGCGUUAUGCGGAUUUAUUGGGUGUAAAAGGCGUGUAGGCGGGAGCGCAAGUCAGAUGUGAAAACUCAGGGCUAAACCCUGAGCCUGCAUUUGAAACUGUGUUUCUUGAGUGCUGGAGAGGCAAUCGGAAUUCCGUGUGUAGCGGUGAAAUGCGUAGAUAUACGGAGGAACACCAGUGGCGAAGGCGGAUUGCUGGACAGUAACUGACGCUGAGGCGCGAAAGCGUGGGGAGCAAACAGGAUUAGAUACCCCAGUAGUC